RNAcentral lists this long non-coding RNA (19348 nucleotides) under Populus tremula. Its description in RNAcentral is "long non-coding RNA (PTRE_LNC001332)". The record is from RNAcentral. Lineage: Eukaryota; Viridiplantae; Streptophyta; Magnoliopsida; Malpighiales; Salicaceae.
ACAAUAGAUGAACAUUGCAUUCAAUUUCUAAAUUGCUAUAGACAAUUAUUGGACUGCUCCAUUCAGCUACUUCAUUUGUUCAUUCCAGUUGCAUUCUUCACUCCUUCAACAGCUGCCUGUGCCGUAGACAUCACCUGUUCACCAGCCUACACCAAGAACAAGUAUCAUAAUUAAAUUACACAUCUGUUCGUUAUUUUCAUGAGCACAAGCUACUGUAGUGGUGAGGAUGAAUUCUCUGGGGGAAAAAACACAGAAAAUGAGAUUGAAGGAAAGUAUUUGAAUACCCCUUGCACUGAUUCCUUUGCAUAUUGAGCAGCAUUACCAGCUUUGUCCAUCAUGGUAGGACUGGUCUUCUCCUGAAACAAACAAAAUCCAUGCCUUAUCAUGUAUUGGAAGAGAAAUAUCAUUGUGUUCUUGAGCACAAGCUACUGUAGAGGUGAGGAUGAAUUCUCUAAAAAAAAAAACAUAGAAAUGAGAUUGAAGGAGAGUAUUUGAAUACCCCCUGCACUGAUUCCUUCGCAGAUUGAGCAGCAUUACCAGCUUUGUCCAUCAAGGUACUGGCCUUCUCCUGAAACGAACAAAAUCCAUGCCUUCUCAUGUAUUAGAACAGAAAAAUCAAGCAGAUUCAUGAAUUAAAAGGAAGAAAUAAAAAUAAUUCAGAGGCUGACCUGAACUUGACCCUUGGCCUCACCAGCUUGGAAGCUCAUCUUCUGGGUAUUGUCAGCCAUCUUUGGUUUCUGAUUUCUUUAAAAGAUUUGGAAGAACUCAAAUAAAUUCUCAGAUUCUUGAAAAAACAAAACUCUUGGUAGUAAAGGAAUGCCAUGGCAGCCAUAAUUUAUACUGAUUAAAACCAGUCCAUUGCUGGACACGUGCAAUGCCACGUGUCAAGCUAGAGAUUGCUUGGAAUAUCAUCCGUUAUUGAGGUUGAGAUUUUGGGGGCCUUUGACCAGGGGGGUUGUGAAUUUUAUGAAUAAUUCAUGCGCUAACUUUCUUUGUUUGUUUUUUUUUUUUUAAAUAAAAAAAUUCUUUGGAUUUUUUUUUAAGACAUUCAUGUAAGUGGUGUCCAAAUUUCAUUAGACAAGUGAGAAAAAACAUGUUUAGUUUAUGUGAAUAAUAUGAAAAAAAAAACCCUUGUAGAUUUAUUUAUCAAAAUACCGAGAUUUUAUUUGAAUGGUUCAUUUAAAAUAUGCUUUAAAGAUAAAAAUGGAUUUUUGUUUAGAAAAUAAUGCUUUUAAUUUAUAAAAUAUCUUGAUUUUAGGUUCAUCAUUGAUUUUAUGAUUGUUUAUUCAUAAAUUAUUAAAUAAAAUAUAAUUUUAAAAAAUAUAAUAUCGAGUUAAGAGUUUUUAAAUUUGAUUUACUAAAUCAGAUUUAAUAAUAAUACCAAAAAAAUUAUGGUGACUUCAAUAUAUUUUUAUUUUUUUUUAAUUUGAUAUGUAGUAUAGCAAAAAAAGUUACUUACUAGGUCCCAUUAUAUAUGUUGUCUAUUUACAGGAUUACAAAUUUUGAGUAGCUUUUUAUAUAGGGGAGGUGCUGCUAAUUGUUUUUUAAAAAAAAAACUGAAAUUGUUAUCCCCCUAAAUCUGUGUAGAUGCCUAGGAGAAAAUCAAUUGUACAUUAUAAGGACAAGAUCACUGCUACUUCUUCUAAUAACGCUAAUGACAACCACGAGUCAUUAGAUGUCCACCAAAAAGAGACACUUGAGAUGCAAGCAUCGACUCACGACUUUGCCUCGUCGAGUGCAAUGUUGCAAUGUAGAGGGGGUCCCUUCACAAUGAGAUUCCUACAUAGUGGGAUCCAUUCACCUACAAAUACGAGACUCAAUCGAAAGACGACAUUUUAAUAUAAGUUUGCUUUGCUUUCACAACGACAUGUUUAAUAAUACCAUAAAAAUAAUUUUUCAUUAAAUUUAUUCAAUUUCAAGUUUAUAAACAAUGAGAUUGCCCGAACAAGAACUUGACAUUUAAAUCGUCGAUGAAAAUUUCAUUGUUUCAAUGAAGCCAAGUUUCCAAACAUUCUAAAUGAAAACCGCAUGAUGAUGCAUGGUUUUUAAGGUUUAAGGUUAGUAUUAACUUAAUAUUUUUUUUAUUAUGUUAAUUUGUUUACUUUAUUGAAAUUAUUAAAAAAAUUCUUUUUAUAAAUGUUUAUUGCAAGGAAAAAUUUGAAUUGGAUAUAGCUAAUGAUAAUGUUGCGAGGAGGGUUUGGAAGAAUUACGUUGCAAUUACAUAACAUCGAAAUCAAGAUAAUUUUUUAUUCAAAAUAUUAAAAUUUUAUUUGUCAUUUACUUAAAGAUAAUUUGUUUGUAUUAUAUGAGUUGUGUGAUUUUUGGUACGAGGUGCAAAAGAAAUCAAAAAAAUAUGCGAAAGAAAGCGAUCUACCAUACUAGAAUGAUAUGACGGUUUGAAAGGAUUUCAAGUCGCCAUAUAUCUUUGAGACUAUAUAGGCGGAAUACAUUCAGCAUGUGAUGUCCAUGCAUAUCACGUGAUGGUCACAGUUUGGUGCCGGGAACCGAAGCUGACAAAUUAACGGUUCUGUUAUCAUGCACACCGGCGGUUCCGUUCUGUUUAUUUUUAAAUGCGAAGAGGAUAGUAAGAUUUUUUUUAAUUGCAUCCAUUUUUUAAUUUGUUGUUUUUUAUAAAUAUAUUUAACUGGCAAUAUUUUUAUCUUGCAUUCAACGGUUCUUAGACAUGAGCCAAACGCAGUGAAGUUUUAUGUGGAAACACAUGUGUGAAGUGAUGGCCGCAAAAAAAAUAAAAUGCAAUAGUUCGUAGAUAGCCAAUCUCAAUGCUUUGUGGUAUGUUGGUUUUCAAUAAUUUUGUUUUAGUUAUUAUCUACUUGAAUUUGAUGAAUUUAUUGUUUAUUUUCAGGAGACAUAUAGCAGUCGGUUAAAAAAAAAUAUAUGGACAAUUCUUCUACCCAUUCAGAUAUCGAUCCAAAUUUAUGAUUGAAGGUAAAAUUAUCUGGUACACUCGAUAAAAAUCAGUUAUACAAACUCUCUAACACUAUAAACAAAAACUUAUAAACAACCUAUAAUAUUUCAGUCAUUGAAUGCUUACAAUUAAUCCAGAGCACUUAAUCAACCAUGGGAUACAAUAACGUAGACCCAUCUCAAUUAAUAAAAAAUAUGAACGACUGCAACUCCUCUCAACUGUCGCAGUGUAUUUUAAAAAGGAGAGAGAGGCCACUUUGUUCACGAAUGUAGCCACCCUUCUCAACUCCUCUCCCUGAAACAGCCCCUCCCUUCUCGCCACCUCCCUGUUCCCGAAUCUACCAACCUUCUCCACCUCAUCUCAGAAACUGCUCCUUUUUUUUCAUCGACUCCGCCGCAACCUCUCAAGUCCUCUAUAAAAAAAACAGCUCCUCCUUUCUGGCUUCCCUCAUUCUCGGAUCUAGCCAUCCUUUCCACCCCCCUCUCGAAAAAGGCUUCUCUCUUUUCGCUGCCCCUUGUUUCUUAUGUUAAAAAAAUUUGUAACUGAUAUCAUUAUCGGAAGCAACGUUGCAUAAAAAACUAGCUAGUUAAGUAAUUUGUUAGAGAAAUGCCGCUUGUCUUCCUUGAGCAUCUUAUUGCCAGAAUCUCAAGCAUUUUUUAUGAACAUGGAUUCACCUUCUUACUUCUGCCUGUGAAUUGUAAUGCGGGAAGGAAAAACGUUAAGUCUAAUAAUCAAAUACAAUUAGCAGUGAAUUAAUAGCAAAGUACAGAUAUAUAGGGCCAUCUGGACAUGCAGGAUCCCAUGAAGAUGAAGGAAUGUUGUGCUCUCAUAAACUGAGACAAAAGAUCUUCAAACAAGUACGAAAAUGAAGUAAAAUUUCACUAAUUAAGGCAACAUCUGCCUGCAAACAUCGAUCACGAGGGAGCUACAGAGAGAGCUCUCUUCUUUAUACAAAAGGAAAUGGCAGAAACAAAACAACAGAUGAACAUUGCAUUCAAUUUCUAAAUUGCUAUAGACAAUUAUUGGACUGCUCCAUUCAGCUACUUCAUUUGUUCAUGCCAGUUGCAUUCUUCACUCCUUCAACAGCUGCCUGUGCCGUAGACAUCACCUGUUCACCAGCCUACACCAAGAACAAGUAUCAUAAUUAAAUUACACAUCUGUUCGUUUUAUUCUUGAGCACAAGCUAUAUAUUGUAGUGGUGAGGAUGAAUUCUCUGGGGAAAAAAACACAGAAAAUGAGAUUGAAGGAGAGUAUUUGAAUACCCCUUGCACUGAUUCCUUUGCAUAUUGAGCAGCAUUACCAGCUUUUUCCAUCAAGGUAGGACUGGUCUUCUCCUGAAACAAACAAAAUCCAUGCCUUAUCAUGUAUUGGAAGAGAAAUAUCAUUGUGUUCUUGAGCACAAGCUACUGUAGAGGUGAGGAUGAAUUCUCUAAGAAAAAAAACAUAGAAAAAGACAUUGAAGGAGAGUAUUUGAAUACCCCUUGCACUGAUUCCUUUGCAGAUUGAGCAGCAUUACCAGCUUUGUCCACCAAGGUACUGGCCUUCUCCUGAAACGAACAAAAUCCAUGCCUUCUCAUGUAUUAGAACAGAAAAAUCAAGCAGAUUCAUGAAUUAAAAGGAAGAAAUAAACAAAUUUCACAGGCUGACCUGAACUUGGCCCUUGGCCUCACCAGCUUGGAAGCUCAUCUUCUGGGUAUUGUCAGCCAUCUUUGGUUUCUGAUUUCUUUAAAAGAUUUGGAAGAACUCAAAUAAAUUCUCAGAUUCUUGAAAAAACAAAACUCUUGGUAGUAAAGGAAUGCGAUGGCAGCCAUAAUUUAUACUGAUUAAAACCAGUCCAUUGCUGGACACGUGCAAUGCCACGUGUCAAGCUAUAGAUUGCUUGGAAUAUCAUCCGUUAUUGAGGUUGAGAUUUUGGGGGCCUUUGACCAGGGGUGUUGUGAAUUUUUGAAUAAUUCAUGUGCUAACUUUCUUUCUUUGUUUGUUUUUUAUUUUAUUCAAAAAAAAAUUCUUUCGGUUUUUUUUCAAGACAUUCAUUUAAGAAAGGAUCAUGAUUAGUUUAUGUGACUAAUUUGAAGAAACACUCUUGAAUAUUUAAUUAACAUAAACUUUAUUGUUUUAGAUUUGCUGAUCAAAAUACUGAGAUUUUAUUUGAAUUUUUUUAUUUAAAUUUUGCUUUAAGACAAUAAUGGAUUUUUUAUAGAUAAUAGUGCUUUCAAUUUACAAAAUAUCUUGAUAUUAGGUUCAUCAUUGAUUUUAUAAUUGUUUAUUUUUCAUAUUAUUAAACAAAUAUAGUUUUUAAAAAUAUAAUGUCAAGUUAAGAUUUUUCUAGUUUAAUUUAUUGAAUCGAAUUUAAUAAUCAUAUAAAAAAUUUAUCAUGACUUGAAUAUAUUUUUAAUUUAAUUCGUCGAAAGAAGUUACUUACUAGGUCCAUUAUAUAUGUUGUCUAUUUGCAGGAUUAAAAAUUUUAGGUAGCUUCCUGUAUAGAUGAGGUGUUGCCGAAUUUUUUUAAAAAAAUUGAAAUUGUGCCCCCCUCAAAAAAAAAAAAAUGUGUAGAUGCCUUGAGGAAAAUCAAUUGUACACCAUGAGAACAAGAUCACUACUAGUUCUUCUAAUAAUGAUAGUGACAAUCAUAAGUCAUUAGGUGUCGACCAAUAAGAGACACUUGAGACGCAAGCAUCGACUCACGACCUUGCCUUAUCAAGUGCAAUGCCGCAAUGUCGAGGGGUCCCUUCACAGUGGGAUCCAUUCACACCGCAUGUAUAAGGCCCAAUGGAAAGGCAACAUUUCAAUGUAAGUUUGUUUGCUUUUACAAUGACAUGUUUAAUAAUAUCGUAAAAACCGUAUUUCAUUAAAUUUAUUCAAUUUCAUGUUUACAAACAUUGAGGCUGCCCAAACAAUAACUCAACAUUUAAAUCAUCAAUGAUAAUUUCAUUUUUUCAAUGGAACGAGGUUUCCAAACAUCCUAAAUGAAAACCGGAAGUCGAUGCUUGGUUUUCAAGGUUUAAGAUUAAUAUUAACUUAAUUUUUUUUAUUAUUUUAAUUUGUUUGCUUUAUUGAAAUUACUAAAAAAUUUCUUUUUAUAAAUUUUUAUUGCAAGGGAAAAUUUGAAUUGGAUAGAGCUAAUGAUAAUGUUGCGAGGAAGGUUUGGAAGAAUUACGCUACAACUAAGUAACAUCGAAAUCAUGAUAAUUUUUUAAUUCAAAAUAUUAAAAUUUUAUUUGUCAUUUACUUAUAGAUAAUUUGUUUGUAUCAUACAGGUCGCAUGAUUUUUAUACAAGGUACAAAAGAAAUCCAAAGAAUAUACGAAAGAAAGUGAUCUACCAAGUUGAAAUGACAUGGCGAGUAGGACGGAUUUUAGGCCACCAUACAUAUUGAAGACUAUAUGGGUGGAAUACAUUCAGCAUGUGAUGUCCGCGCGUAUCAUGCAACAGUCACAGUUCAGUGCUGGGAACUGGAGCUGAAAAAUUCAUGGUUAUGUUAUCACACACAUCGGCGGCUCCGUUUCGAUCAUUUUCACAUGAAAAGAGGAUAGUAAGAUUUUUUUUAAUUGCAUCCAUUUUUUAAUUGAUUGUUUCUUAUAAAUAUAUUUAACUGGCAACAUUUUUAUUUUGUAGGCUACAGUUCUUGGACAUGAGCCAAGUCCAAUUGAGCUUUUUGUGGAAACACACGUGUGAAGUGAUGACUGCCAAAAAGAAAUGCAACAAUUCGUAGAUAGCCAAGCUCAACAUUUUGUAGUAUAUUUGUUUUCAACCCUUUUUUAAAAAAAUUAUUAUUUACUUGAAUUUGAUGAAUUUGUUUUUUAUUUUCAGGAGACAUAUAACAGCCGGUUAAAAGAGAGAUACAUGGACGAUUCUUCUACCCAUCCAGAUAUCGAUCUAGAUUUAUAGUUGAAGGUAAGAUCAUUUGGUGCCCUUGAUAGAAAUUGGGUAUGUAGACUCUUUAACACUAUGACCAAGAACUUGCAGGCGAACUAUACUGUGUCAACCGUUAGAUGCUCACAAUCGGUCCCGAACACUUAAUCUCUAGAGUUCACAACCUUGUUAGAUCAAGGAGUACAUGAACAUACGAUCCAUUUCCAUGAAAAUAUGAACGAAUCUCUAUGGAUUAUGAAAAACUCUGUAGAUUGGUAAUGAAGAUAAGAUCACAUAUAGGUGAUACAUGUGCACCUUAUUAUUGUCCCCAUGGUCUCGACGACAACUAGCAUUCUCCUCCUCCACCUCAAGCACCAUCUCUAAUCUAAUUUUAUUAUAUUUGAACAUAUAAAUGUUUAAAUUUGUAAUAAAUAUUUGAUUUUUAUAUUAAAAUAAUCUAUUUUUAAAUAUUUCAAUUUUAUAUUAAUUUAAUUUUUUAGCUAUUUUGUAUUUUAGUUUAGUAGAUUUUUUAAAAAAUAUUUUUAAAUUAUUAUUGAUGGGGUUGCUAAUAGACUUAUUUCGUCGGUAUAUUCCAGAGAGUUGGAAAAAAAUUACAGCAAAUGUCAAUGCUACUAUUAACUUACCAACGAAAUCAGUAUGUCAGUAUAUUCUAGAGAGUUGAAAAAACAUUACUGCAAAUGUCACUGUAACUUUUAACUCACUAAUGGAAUAAGCUCGUUAAUAUAUUUUAGAGAGUUGGAAAAGAGUUACAGUAAAUGGCACUGCAACUAUUAACUCAAUAAUGAAAUUACAUAUAAUUCUCAUGUUGGUGAUAUGUUAAAUUGUACCGAGAGAAUGAUUGGUGUAAUGAAACGGAUAAUUUUUUUUUCACGCACAUAUUCCAUCUAUAAAAUCAUCAAUGAACUUAUUGAAAGAUAAAAAAUUACAUAUAAAUAUUUUUCUAACAUAUAUUUUUUAUUCAUGACUGUGUUGAUAAAAUAAUUACAGACGAAUUGUUGGUCUAAAUACUGUGAAAUAUUCUUGUGGUGAGAAGCAUGAAAUGAUUCAUCAGUGUUAAUGUCAACCUCUGAGUAGAACAAGCUGUUAAAUGGAGACAGAUUGACCAACUCUUUGUAUCUACUAUGCUCAAUAAAAUCCUACAAACAAAAUAAAAAACAAUUUGUUUGGGGAUUUUAUCUAAUUUGGUGGGCUUGCCUUAUUUUGUUAAUUAAAAGGUAAUAGAUACAUUAAAAAAAACAACACAAAUUAAAACCUGCUUAUAAUUUAGAAAAAAACCACCUGUCUUUCAUUUUUAACAACAUAGAAAUUGCACCACCACUGUCGCAGUGUAUUUUAAAAAGGAGAGGCCACUUUGUUCACGAAUGUAGCCACCCUUCUCAACUCCUCUCCCAGAAACAGCCCCUCCCUUCUCGCCACCUCCCUGUUCCCAAAUCUACCAACCUUCUCCACCUCUCAAGUCCUCUAUAAAAAGACAGCUCCUCCUUUCUGGCUUCCCUCAUUCUCGGAUCUAGCCAUCCUUUCCAUCCCCCUCUCGAAAAAGGCUUCUCUCUUUCGCUACCCCUUGUUUCUUAUGUUAAAAAAAUUUGUAACUGAUAUUAUUAUCCGAAGCAACGUUGCAUCAAAAACUAGGUAAUUUGUUAAGUAAUUUGUUAGAGAAAUGCCGCUUGCCUUCCUUGAGCAUCUUAUUGCCAGAAUCUCAAGCAUUUUUAUGAACAUGGAUUCACCUUCUUACGUCUGCCUGUGAAUUGUAAUGCGGGAAGGAAAAACGUUAAGUCUAAUAAUCAAAUACAUUUAGCAGUGAAUUAAUAGCAAAGUAUAGAUAUAGAGGGCCAUCUGGAUAUGCAGGAUGCCAUGAAGAUGAAGGAAUGUUGUACUCUCAUAAACUGAGACAGAAGAUCUUUAAACAAGUACGAAAAUGAAGUAAAAUUUCACUAAUUAAGGCAACAUCUGCCUGCAAACAUCGAUCACGAGAGAGCUACAGAGAGAGCUCUCUUCUUUAUACAAAAGGAAAUGGCAGAAACAAAACAACAGAUGAACAUUGCAUUCAAUUUCUAAAUUGCUAUAGACAAUUAUUGGACUGAUCCAUUCAGCUACUUCAUUUGUUCAUUCCAGUUGCAUUCUUCACUCCUUCAACAGCUGCCUGUGCCGUAGACAUCACCUGUUCACCAGCCUACACCAAGAACAAGUAUCAUAAUUAAAUUACACAUCUGUUCGUUAUUUUCUUGAGCACAAGCUACUGUAGUGGUGAGGAUGAAUUCUCUGGGGAAAAAACACAGAAAAUGAGAUUGAAGGAAAGUAUUUGAAUACCCCUUGCACUGAUUCCUUUGCAUAUUGAGCAGCAUUACCAGCUUUGUCCAUCAUGGUAGGACUGGUCUUCUCCUGAAACAAACAAAAUCCAUGCCUUAUCAUGUAUUGGAAGAGAAAUAUCAUUGUGUUCUUGAGCACAAGCUACUGUAGAGGUGACGAUGAAUUCUCUAAAAAAAAAACAUAGAAAUGAGAUUGAAGGAGAGUAUUUGAAUACCCCUUGCACUGAUUCCUUUGCAGAUUGAGCAGCAUUACCAGCUUUGUCCAUCAAGGUACUGGCCUUCUCCUGAAACGAACAAAAUCCAUGCCUUCUCAUGUAUUAGAGCAGAAAAAUCAAGCAGAUUCAUGAAUUAAAAGGAAGAAAUAAACAAAUUUCACAGGCUGACCUGAACUUGGCCCUUGGCCUCACCAGCUUUGAAGCUCAUCUUCUGGGUAUUGUCAGCCAUCUUUGGUUUCUGAUUUCUUUAAAAGAUUUGGAAGAACUCAAAUAAAUUCUCAGAUUCUUGAAAAAACAAAACUCUUGGUAGUAAAGGAAUGCCAUGGCAGCCAUAAUUUAUACUGAUUAAAACCAGUCCAUUGCUGGACACGUGCAAUGCCACGUGUCAAGCUAUAGAUUGCUUGGAAUAUCAUCUGUUAUUGAGGUUGAGAUUUUGGGGGCCUUUGACCAGGUGGGUUGUGAAUUUUGUGAAUAAUUCAUGUGCUAACUUUCUUUGUUUGUUUGACAAAAUAAACAAAUAAUUCAAUUAAAAAAUUAAAGAAUCCAAAAUCUGGAACCCAACUCUUAAUAGAAACCAACAUUUUCAUACAUGUAAGUGUUGUCCAAAUUUUAUAAGACAAUUGAGAAAAAAAAGAUUUAGUUUAUGUGACUAAUAUGAAAAAACUUCUUGAAUAUUUAAUUAGCAUAAACUUGAUUUUUUUUAGAUUUGUUUAUUAAAUAUUUUUAAUAUUUUUUAAUUAUAUACAAAUUACCGAGAUUUUAUUUGAAUGUUCCAUUUAAAAUUUGUUUUCAAAAUUAUAAUGGAUUUUUAUUUAGAAAAUAAUGCUUGUAAUUUAUAAAAUAUCCUAAUAAUAGAUUAAUUAUUGAUUUUAUGAUUAUUUUUUAUUAUAUUAUUAAAUAAAAUAUAAUUUUAAAAAAUAUAAAAUCAGUUAAAAAUUUUUAAGUUUGAUUUACUUGAUAAAAUUUAAUAAUAAUUUUAAAAAAAUUCUCAAAUACUUUUUUUUAUUUAAUUUGAUGUAGCAUAAAAGUUAUGUUUAUUGGAAGUUCUAGUCAUUGGUAGGUUUGACUGAGUCUUUAGGAAUUUGUUAUUUGAUUUAGCGGCUGAGAAAGUGUCUUCUUCAUGAUAUUAUUUAGAGGAAUUGUGGUGAGUGCGUUCUAAUGUAAAGUCUAUUAAUAGGUCUUUUUUUUUUUCAUUGUCAAGAACAUAGCUUUCUCUUUCAACAAGUCUCUUUUGUUAUUUUUCUUUAUUUAGUAAUAGUGGUAGCAUAGCCGGGUUAGUGAGAUAAAAGCAAAAGAGAAAAAGUUCUCAAAUAGUGAGUCUCCAAAAUAGUUCAAAUAGCAGUAGCUCUUUUUUCCUCAUAUUUAUAUCUUGCAGAAAACGAGGUACUUAAAUUCCAAUUUUGUGCAAGCAGUAAUCCCACAUUUUAAUGUUCAUUAUAACCAUUGGAGUAUGUUAAUUGGGAACUUUCUUCGAUCAAAAAAAUAUUGGUCGAUUAUUGAAUCUGGAAUUGAAGAAUUAGCAACAACUGCAGUCUUGAUAGAUGCCCAGAAAACAUAGUUGGAAAAGAGAAAACUUAAAUAUUUGAAGGCAAAAAAUUAGAGAAAGCUUAAAUAUUUGAAGGCAAAAAAUUAUCUUUGUCAUGCAAUUGAUUGUCCCAUCUUGGAAAUAAUUCUUAGCAAAGAAACUAGGAUAUGUGAGAUUCCAUGAAAAAAAAAAAAUCAAGGUUCUACUAGAGUAAAGCAUGUACAGCUUCAAGUCUUGAGACGAGACCCUACAUAUGAAGGUUGGAGAAUAUGUCACCAACUAUUGUGCCAUAAUUAUGGAGAUAAACAACAAAAUGCGAUUUUCAUGGUGAGAAGAUGGAUGAUGGUGUUAUUGUUGAAAAGAUAUUGCAUUCUUUAACAAUAAAAUAUGAUUAUGUUGUAUGUUUGAUUGAAGAAUCAAAAGACAUAAAUACACUCUUUCUUGAUGAACUGUAAAGCUCUUUUUAGUCAAUGAACAAAAGAUGAAUUGAAGUUCAAAUACAAACGAGCAAGCUUCAAAGGCUUUUACCUUUACUCAGUUCUCAAAUUUUAGAGGAAGAGGUAAAGGUAAAGAAAAGGGAGGUAGAGGUAAUAAAGAUGGCAACAUACAAUACUUUAAGGCUGGUGAUGAUCAAUAUCAAGGCAGAGACAGAGGACAGGUUCAACACUUUAACAAAUCUAAGGUAGAGUGUUUCAAAUGUCAUAAAUUUGAACAUUAUCAUUCUAAGUGUUAUGCUAGGCUACCUAAUGACAAAGCAAAGGAGAGCAAUUGUAUUUUGCUGAAAAACAAAUCCAUCUUCUAAUGGAGGUAAAAGAUAUUUAAUUACCUUCAUUGAUGCUUUUCCUCGAAAAACUUGGGUUUAUUUUUUACAGCAAAAAUCAAAAGCUCUAUGUGUAUUUUAAAGCUUUAAGGCUCAUGUGGAGAAUGAAACAUGAGAGAUUGUUAAGACCCUUCGAACAAUUAUGGUGGAGAAUAUUGCUCAACCGAAUUUGAAGUUUUUUGUAUGGAUCAUGGCAUUCAAAGGGAACUCACAGCUACUUAUACACCACAAUAAAAUGGUGUAUCAGAGCAAAAAAAAAAAAGUCUAUUGUAGUAGCUCGAUCUCUUCCUCGUAUUCGAAAAAGGCCUGCAUAGAGGGAAGACUAUAAGGUAACUCGAAUUGAAGAUCCAAUCACUCACUUUGCUUUAUUUUCAGAUUGUAAUCCUACAACCUUUGAAAAUGCUGUCAAAAAAGCAAAAUGGAGGAAGGCGAUGGAUGAUGAAAUUGAUGCCAUUGAAAGAAAUGACAAUUGGGAGCUGACUGAUAUUUCGAAAGCACAUAAAACCAUUAGUUUAAAGUGGGUUUUCAAAACAAAACUAAAAUAACAUGGUAAAGUUGAUAAAUAUAAGGCACGUUUGAUAGCUAAGGGAUAUAAACAAGAAUAUAGGAUCGAUUAUAUAGAAGUUUUUGCUCCCGUUGGAAGACAUGAUACAAUCAGAUUGGCGGCGUAGAACUUGUGGCCUAUUUUCCAAUUGGAUGUCAAAUCAACAUUCUUGCAUUAAAACUUGAAAGAACAAGUAUUUGUAGAACAACCUUUUGGUCAUAUUAAGAUCAUAAAUGAGCAUAAAGUUUAUAGAAUAAAUAAAGCUCUUUAUGGAUUAAAACAAGCUUCACGAGCUUGGUAUAAUCACAUUGAUACUUAUUUUUUGAAAGAAGGCUUUCACAAAUGUCCAUAUGAGCACGUACUAUUUGUUAAAAUUGAAGAUAAGGAGAAAUUGCUCAUUGUUUACUUAUAUAUAGAUGAUCUUAUAUUUACUAGAAAUGAUGUUGUUAUGUUUAAGGAAUUCAAGAAAUAUAUGAUGAUUGAAUUUGAAAUGUUUGACCUUGGUAUGAUGCAUUAUUUUCUUGGUAUAGAAGUAGUGCAAUCCGCUAAUGGGAUAUUUAUUUCUCAAAAUAAGUACGUGUAAGAUAUUUUGGACAAGUUUCAAAUAAGGGAUUGCAAUUCUAUUAGCACUCCAACUAAAUUUGGCUUGACGUUAAACAAAGAUCAUGAAAGGAAAGAAGGUGGAUAACACAUUUUACAAAGCAAAUUGUUGGCAGUUUGAUGUAUUUAACUACAACAAGACCAGACAUAAUGUAUUUUGUGAGCUUAAUUAGUAAGUAUGUGGAGAAUCCAACAGAAAUGCAUUUGUUUGGAGCCAAGAGGAUCCCUCGUUACUUGCAAGGAACUAAAGAUUUUGGGUUGUUCUACAAGAAGGGCGAAAAGUAGUUGUUUAGGUUCUUUAACAAUGAUUAUUCAUGAGAUCAAACUGAUAAAAAAGCACUUCGGGUUAUGUGAGUUAUUUUUAUGUUGGGCACAGGUGUUGUUUCAUGGUCUUUAAGAAGCAACAAAUUGUCAUCUUAUUAACAAAUUGUCUGAAUUUAUUGUUGCCAUAGCUUGUGCUUGUCAAGCUAUCUAGUUAACAAGAAUUCUUGAAGAACUACAAUUCUAGCAAAUUAAGGUUACUAGUUUUUUAUGAUAACAACUCAGUGAUUAAACCUUCAAGAAUCUAGUAAACGGAAGACAACCAUAUCAAUGUUAAAUAUUAUUAUUUUAAGAGAUCUAAGUCUGGUUUAUCAUCGAAGUGAAGACCAAAUUAUAGAUAUACAGGCCAAGUCUCUCAAAUUUGCUAUAUUUGUUAAAUUACAUAAUCUACUUGGAGUUUGUUCAUGUUCUAAAGUGAACGAGAAUUUUACAGAGGAUUGAUUUUCCUUUUAAACUGAUAUAUGUAGAUUUCAGUUUAAUAAAGAGUGUUAAGAGUUAAGUGUUUUAUUUAAUGUUUAUUGAAAGUUCUAGUCUUUGGUACGUUUGACAAAGUCUUUAGAAAUUUAUUAUUUAAUUUAGUUGCUGAAAUGUACGAUGCUAUUUUAUUAUGAUGAAUGCGUUCUGAUAUAAAACCUAUUUAUAAUUUAUUUAUUUUAUUCUCAAGAAUAGAGUUCUUUUUUAACACGUCUCUUUUUUUAUUUUUACGUACUAGGUCCCACUAAACACAGUGUGUCGGAAUGAUUAUUACGGAGGUGACUGGAGUUGUCAGAAACCUGAUAAAGGCUAAGGACUGUCCGUUGUUCAUUGAUGACAAAGGUACGGAUGUGAGCUAUUAUUGGCCACAUAUCUACUUCAUUAUUAUUAUUAUUAUUAUUAUUAUUUAACUUUUGACUAGAUUACAAAUAUAUAUUAUACGUUUUCCUAUUUUUCUUUGGAAGUCAUACAAACUUGUAUAUUUUAUUUAUCUUUUUCUCACAACAAAAAUUAGUUAUAUUAUAUUUUCUAUUAUAAAAAAACAAAGAAAACAUUUACAAAAAAAGUACCAUAUUAAUAUUAAAACAUAAAAAAGGAAAGAUUCCUUGAUAGAAAAACAAACCAUGAAAAAAUAAUAUUAAUUAAUAUUUUUUUAGACUUUAAUCUUUGUUCUGUAAACUCACAACAUAUUUUUUAUGUAACAAAAUUAAUAUGUGGAACUUAUUUUGUCUUCUUUCAAGCACGUCCAUCCUAUUAGGAAAAUCUAAUUUUUUUUCCGACACAUUAAAAUUAUAAUUUCGUUAAAAUAAUAUAGUUCACAUCAAAAUUGAUUUAAUUUGGUGAUUAGAAAAUAAAAAUAUGUAUGAAAAAAAUUUAAUAAUAUAAAGAUAUAAUUAUCCGAAGCAGCAACUUCUCAUAAAAGACUAGUUUGUUAAGAAAUUUCUCAGAGAAAGCAUCUUAAGGCCAGAAUCUUAAGCAUUUUUUAUGAACAUGGAUUCAUCACCUUCUGAUGUUUGCCUGUGAAUUUGUAAAAGCAUGAGUGGAGUGUUUUAUUAUUUUUUAAUAAGUUUGAUAUUUUUUUUCUAGAAAUAUGUAAAAUUAUCAUUUAUAAAAGAGAAAAUAUUAUUUUAAUAUUUGUUUAGCACUUUAAUAUGCAAAAUAAAUAUAAAAAAUUUAAAAUAAUAUUUUUUAAUAUUUAGCUUUUCAUUUAAGACACCCAUGGGAGAUGCUCUAAUGUGUGAAGGCAAACGUUAGCUCUAAUCAAAUAAAUUUAGCAGUGAAUUAAGAGCAAAGUACAUACACAUAUAUAUAUAUAUACACACACACACACAUAAAUAUAUAUAUAUAUAUAUAUAUAUAUAUAGGGCCAUCUGCACAUGAAGAUGAAGCAAUGUUGGGAUCUCAUAAACCGAGGCAGAAGAUCUUUAAACAAGUACGAAACUGAAAGUAAAUUUCAGUAAUUAGGGCAAUAUCUGCCUGCAAACAUCACGAGAGAGCUACAGAGAGAGAUCUCUUCUUUAAUCAAAAGGAAAUGACAGAAACACAACAAUAGAUGAACAUUGCAUUCAAUUUCUAAAUUGCUCCAUUCAGCUAAUUCAUUUGUUCAUGCCAGUUGCCUUCUUAAUUCCGUCCACAGUUCCCUGUGCCGUAGACAUCACCUGUUGACCAGCCUACACCAAGAGCAAGUAUCAUAAUUAAAUUACACAUCUGUUCGUUAUAUUCUUGAGCACAAGCUACUGUAGCGGUGAGGAUGAAUUCUCUAGGAAAAAAAACACAGCAAAUGAGAUUGAAGGAAAGUAUUUGAAUACCCCUUGCACUGAUUCCUUUGCAUAUUGAGCAGCAUUACCAGCUUUCUCCAUCAUGGUAGGACUGGUCUUCUCCUGAAACAAACAAAAUCCAUGCCUUAUCAUGUAUUGGAAGAGAAAUAUCGUUGUGUUCUUAAGCACAAGCUACUGUAGAGGUGAGGAUGAAUUCUCUUAAAAAAAAACAUAGACAUGAGAUUGAAGGAGAGUAUUUGAAUACCCCUAGCACUGAUUCCUUUGCAGAUUGAGCAGCAUUACCAGCUUUUUCCACCAAGGUACUGGCUUUCUCCUGAAACAAACAAAAUCCAUGCCUUCAUGUAUUAGAAGAGCAAGAUCAAGCAGAUUCAUAAAUAAAAAGGAAGAAAUAAACAAAAUUCAAAGGCUGACCUCAGCUCGGCCCUUGGCCUCGCCAGCUUGGAAGCUCAUCUUCUGGGUAUUGUCAGUCAUCUUUGGUUUCUGAUUUCUUGUGAGAGAUUUGGAAGAAUUCAAAUAAAUCGAAAGCUCAAAUGCUUGAAAAAUGAAAACUCUUGGUAGUAAAGGAAUGCCAUAGCAGCCAUGAUUUAUACUGGUUUAAACCAGUCCGUCGCUGGACAUGUACUAUUCCACGUGUCAAGCUACGAUUGCUCGGAAUAAUAUCUGUUUUGAGGUUGAGAUUAUGGGGGCCUUUCACCAGGGGGGUUGUGAAUAAUUAAUGUGCUAAUUUUCUUUGUUUGUUAAAAAAAUAAUAAAAAGUUCUUUCGGUUAUUUCUUAACAGAUUCAAUUAAGAAAGGAUCAUGAUUGAGGGAUCCAAAAUCUUGAGCCCAAGACACCAAAGUUACAUACAUACAAUAUUGUCCAAAUCUUAUGACAUGAUUGAGAAAAAACAUAUUAUAUACAUACAAUAUUGUCCAAAUCUUAUGACAUGAUUGAGAAAAAGCAUGAUUAGUAAUUUAAAUAUUACAUCUUGUAAUCAUGAUAAAAAAAAAAUUAUAUAUAUAGAUUCUAGCAUGCAUGUUCAAAUUGAAUAUAUAUUAAACUUAUAAUUGAUAUCUAAAUAAAAUUCUAGUAUGUAUAGUAAUCAUAUAAUAUAUCUUUAUAAAAACCAAACUUAAGCUCUAAAGUAUAGAAAAAAAAAGUCAAAAAACGAGUCUUUUUAUGAUCUUUGUUUGUUUGCCAAAAUGUUUUUUUUUUUUUUUAACACAUUCAUAGGUUGUUAACCACUUUUAUGUGGUAUAAUUAAACUAAUAAUUUUUAUAAAUUUUUUUAUUUGUAACAUAAACAUAUAAAAAUUAUAAAAUAAACAAAAAAAUAUUAAUAUUUUUUCAAGUCUUUUAAAAAUGGAUAAAAAACCGUUGUUCCAAACUCGACACCAAACACACACAGACACUUGCUCUAAAAUGUAAAUCCCAAUUAGGUUACAAAGAAAGCUUGGUUUGAUCAUCUUAGGUGUGAAAUCUAUUGAAGAUCAAUCCAGAAUUUUCUCACCGCCUACCAUCUUCGGAUCAUGUAGAAAUAUCUAUCCAUAACUCCAGCAGAAAAUAUCUUAGCUACAUGUGGCUGGUGUUGUGUUUAGUAUUACGUUUUAGAAGUAUUUAAAAAAAUAAUAAAAUAUUUUUUAUUUUAAAUUAAUAUUUUUCAGAUUAUUUUUUAUAUACUGAUAUUAAAAUAAUUUUUUAAAAAUAAAAUAAAAAUUAUUUUAAUAUAUUUUAAAAUAAAAAACAUUUUAAAAAAACUACCAUACACCCAAAGACACGUGACAUAUGAUGUAUGCUGGAAAUUUCUCCUACCGACAUAGCAUAGCCACGUGUGGGUGUGUGUGUGGUUCCUUCAUUUUGUGUGGUGGGCAACGAGUGAGAAGAUAGAUGAAUAAGUGAAAGAGUGUCAGAAAAAAGAGAGAUAAUAAUGAAGAGAGUAUUCAGUGUGUGUCGCGUGAGCUUUUGGAAACGCGUUAUCUCGCUUUUUCAAAAAACUUUUAAAUUCUUUUUAUUAAAAUUUAAUUUUUUAUAUAUUUUUUUAAAUAAUUUUAAUAUAUAAAUUUCAAAAAUAAUUUUUAAAAAAUAAAAAAAUAUAUUAUUUUAAUAUAAAAAAUCCUUUAAAAAAUAAUUAUAACUAAAAUGACAAUCACCCAGUUAAAAGACGUAUAAAUUAGUUAGCUUCAAAGUCGUUGCUCAAAAUUCAUGUUCAACAAAGUCUUUUUAUUUUUAUAACAAAAAUUUUCAAAACAUUUAUCGAAAAAGCAAUGUAAAAAAUAAAAAACAUUAAUGGUUAUGGAUAAAGAAAAAAACCAAUGAAUAAUUAAUAUAAAACUUCAUUUUUUUUAAGAUUUGUUUUAUCACUUUCUUUCAAUAUUUUUUUAAUUAUAUAUAAAAUACCGAGAUUUUGAGAUUUUGUUUGAAUGUUAGAAUUAAGAUUUGCUUUUAAGGCCUGGAAAAUAUUGAUUGCAAUUUAUAAAAUAUUCUGAUAUUAGGUUAAUAAAUGAUUUUACAAUUGUUUUUUAUUGUAUUAUUAAAUAAAAUAUAAUUUUAAAAAAUAUAAAUUCUAGUUAAAAGAGUUUUUAAAUUUAAUUUACUGGAUCGGAUUUAAUAAUAAUCUAAAAAAACAUAAGUUUAAUUUUGAAAAUUUUAUUUCAAAGUAUUUUUUUUUCUUUAUUAUAAUUCCUACACUACCCUAAAAGCUCAUUUAAAAACUUAGGCUGCCUUUUCUUUCAUAGAAACAAUUUGCAGUAUAUUUGACAUCUAAUAUACUUUUCACUUAUAACUUAGGCUGCCUUUUCUUUCAUAGAAACAAUUUGCAGUAUAUUUGACAUCUAAUAUACUUUUUCACUUAUAAGAUAGUUUUUAGCUUUUAAUGUAAAAUGAGAUAUAUUAAUUAGGUGUUUGUAUUUUUCCUCUUUUUGUUUACUUCAGCUAAUUUUGUUUCUUCAUAAUAAUAGCAAUGGAUUAAGAUUAAUUAAGAGUGAUGAUCUAAGUGGAGCAAUGUUAUGGAAUUCUAAGCUGCUCUUGAACUCACACUUCAGGGACUUUAGACUUAGUCAGAUUCAUAAACACCAAAUAUUCAAGGAGUGAAUUAAUAGCAAAGUAUAGAUAUAUAGGGCCAUCUGGACAUGCAGGAUGCCAUGAAGAUGAAGGAAUGUUGUGCUCUCAUAAACCGAGACAAAAGAUCUUUAAACAAGUACGUACGAAACUGAAGUAAAAUUUCACUAAUUAGGGCAAAAUCUGCCUGCAAACAUCGAUCACGAGAGAGCUACAGAGAGAGCUCUCUUCUUUAUACGAAAGGAAAUGGCAGAAACAAAACAAGAGAUGAACAUAGCAUUUAAUUUCUAAAUUGCUAUAGACAAUUAUUGGACUGCUCCAUUCAGCUACUUCAUUUGUUCAUGCCAGUUGCAUUCUUCACUCCUUCAACAGCUGCCUGUGCCGUAGACAUCACCUGUUGACCAGCCUAAACCAAGAACAGGUAUCAUAAGUAUAUUAUACAUUUGUCCAUUGUAUUCUUGAGCACAAGCUACUGUAGUGGUGAGGAUGAAUUCUCUCAAAAAUAAAACACAGAAAAUGAGAUUGAAGGAAAGUAUUUGAAUACCCCUUGCACUGAUUCCUUUGCAUAUUGAGCAGCAUUACCAGCUUUGUCCAUCAUGGUAGGACUGGUCUUCUCCUGAAACAAACAAAAUCCAUGCCUUAUCACGUAUUGGAAGAGAAAUAUCAUUGUGUUCUUGAGCACAAGCAAGUGUAGAGGUGAGGAUGAAUUCUCUUAAAAAAAACAUAUAUAGACAUGAGAUUGAAGGAGAGUAUUGAAUACCCCUGUCACUGAUUGCUUUGCAGAUUGAGCAGCAUUACCAGCUUUGUCCACCAAGUUACUGGCCUUCUCCUGAAACAAACAAAAUCCAUGCCUUCAUGUAUUAGAAGAGCAAAAUCAAGCAGAUUCAUAAAUAAAAAGGAAGAAAUAAACAAAUUCACAGGCUGACCUGAG